This 1468-nucleotide ribosomal RNA is filed under the name human gut metagenome. Its description in RNAcentral is "bacterial SSU rRNA". It matches the Rfam family "Bacterial small subunit ribosomal RNA". The record is from RNAcentral.
CAGGACGAACGCUGGCGGCGUGCUUAACACAUGCAAGUCGAGCGAGGUAGCAAUACCUAGCGGCGGACGGGUGAGUAACGCGUGAGCAACCUGCCUACAUCAUCGGGAUACCACGUAGAAAUAUGUGCUAAUACCGAAUAAGACCACACCGAGGCAUCUCGGAGAGGUAAAAGUGAUUUAGCGGAUGUAGAUGAGCUCGCGUCCCAUUAGCUAGAUGGUGAGGUAACGGCCCACCAUGGCGACGAUGGGUAGCCGACCUGAGAGGGUGAUCGGCCACAUUGGAACUGAGAUACGGUCCAGACUCCUACGGGAGGCAGCAGUGGGGAAUAUUGGGCAAUGGGCGAAAGCCUGACCCAGCAACGCCGCGUGAAGGAUGAAGGUUUUCGGAUUGUAAACUUCUGUCAGCAGGGGACGAAGAAUGACGGUACCUGACUAAGAAGCCCCGGCUAACUACGUGCCAGCAGCCGCGGUAAUACGUAGGGGGCGAGCGUUGUCCGGAAUGACUGGGCGUAAAGGGAGUGUAGGUGGCACAGCAAGUUAUAUGUGAAAGCCCGUGGCUCAACCACGGAACUGCAUAUAAAACUACUGAGCUAGAGUGCAGGAGAGGUAAGCGGAAUUCCUAGUGUAGCGGUGGAAUGCGUAGAUAUUAGGAGGAACACCAGAGGCGAAGGCGGCUUACUGGACUGUAACUGACACUGAGGCUCGAAAGCGUGGGGAGCAAACAGGAUUAGAUACCCUGGUAGUCCACGCCCUAAACGAUGGAUACUAGACGAAGGCGGAUUAAUUCCGUCUGUGUCGAAGCAAACGCGAUAAGUAUCCCGCCUGGGGAGUACGGCCGCAAGGUUGAAACUCAAAGAAAUUGACGGGGACCCGCACAAGCAGCGGAGCAUGUGGUUUAAUUCGAAGCAACGCGAAGAACCUUACCAAGACUUGACAUCGUAUGACCGCCAUAGAAAUAUGGAAUCUCUUCGGAGCAUAUAGACAGGUGGUGCAUGGUUGUCGUCAGCUCGUGUCGUGAGAUGUUCGGUUAAGUCCGGCAACGAGCGCAACCCCUAUUAUUAGUUGCCAAUAUUAAGUUAGGAACUCUAAUAAGACUGCCGUGGACAACCCGGAGGAAGGUGGGGAUGACGUCAAAUCAUCAUGCCCCUUACGUCUUGGGCCACACACGUGCUACAAUGGGCGCUACAGAGAGCAGCGAAAUCGCAAGGUGGAGCAAAUCUCAAAAAAGCGUUCUCAGUUCGGAUUGUGGGCUGCAACCCGCCCACAUGAAGUCGGAGUUGCUAGUAAUCCCGAAUCAGAAUGUCGGGGUGAAUGCGUUCCCGGGUCUUGUACACACCGCCCGUCACGCCAUGGGAGUUGGGGGUACCCAAAGUCAGUGAGCUAACCCGCAAGGGAGGCAGCUGCCUAAGGUAAAACCGAUGACUGGGGUGAAGUCGUAACAAGGUAGCCGUAUCGGAAGGUGCGGCUG